This 569-nucleotide ribosomal RNA is filed under the name uncultured bacterium. Its description in RNAcentral is "partial 16S ribosomal RNA". It matches the Rfam family "Bacterial small subunit ribosomal RNA", at positions 355 to 1375 of the family's 1533-position model. The record is from RNAcentral.
UGGGGAAUAUUGCACAAUGGGCGGAAGCCUGAUGCAGCAACGCCGCGUGCGGGAUGACGGCCUUCGGGUUGUAAACCGCUUUCGCCUGUGACGAAGCGUGAGUGACGGUAAUGGGUAAAGAAGCACCGGCUAACUACGUGCCAGCAGCCGCGGUGAUACGUAGGGUGCGAGCGUUGUCCGGAUUUAUUGGGCGUAAAGGGCUCGUAGGUGGUUGAUCGCGUCGGAAGUGUAAUCUUGGGGCUUAACCCUGAGCGUGCUUUCGAUACGGGUUGACUUGAGGAAGGUAGGGGAGAAUGGAAUUCCUGGUGGAGCGGUGGAAUGCGCAGAUAUCAGGAGGAACACCAGUGGCGAAGGCGGUUCUCUGGGCCUUUCCUGACGCUGAGGAGCGAAAGCGUGGGGAGCGAACAGGCUUAGAUACCCUGGUAGUCCACGCUGUAAACGGUGGGUACUAGGUGUGGGGGUCCAUUCCACGGGUUCCGUGCCGUAGCUAACGCUUAAGUACCCCGCCUGGGGGAGUACGGCCGCAAGGCUAAAACUCAAAUGAAUUGACGGGGUCAUAGCUGUUUCCU